Molecule: transfer RNA, 72 nt
Filed under: Fukomys damarensis (Damara mole-rat)
Lineage: Eukaryota; Metazoa; Chordata; Mammalia; Rodentia; Bathyergidae
Rfam family: tRNA
About the family: Transfer RNA (tRNA) molecules are approximately 80 nucleotides in length. Their secondary structure includes four short double-helical elements and three loops (D, anti-codon, and T loops).
Source: Rfam by way of RNAcentral
UGAGGUGUAGCUCAGUGGAAUAGCACUUGCCUGGCAUGCACAGGGAUCUGGGUUUGAUCCCCAACACAGCAA